UGCGUAGGUGGUGGGAUAAGUCGGAUGUGAAAUCUCGGAGCUUAACUCCGAAACUGCAUUGGAAACUGUCCUGCUAGAGGUUUGGAGGGGGGACUGGAAUACUUGGUGUAGCAGUGAAACGCGUAGAUAUCAAGUGGAACACCGGUGGCGAAGGCGAGUCCCUGGACAACACCUGACACUGAGGCACGAAAGCUAGGGGAAGCAAACAG
This 209-nucleotide ribosomal RNA is filed under the name uncultured bacterium. RNAcentral's name for it is "partial 16S ribosomal RNA". It matches the Rfam family "Bacterial small subunit ribosomal RNA", at positions 568 to 775 of the family's 1533-position model. The record is from RNAcentral.